AGCAGUCGCCGCGGUAAUACGUAGGGUGCAAGCGUUAAUCGGAAUUACUGGGCGUAAAGCGUGCGCAGGCGGUUAUAUAAGACAGAUGUGAAAUCCCCGGGCUCAACCUGGGAACUGCAUUUGUGACUGUAUAGCUAGAGUACGGCAGAGGGGGAUGGAAUUCCGCGUGUAGCAGUGAAAUGCGUAGAUAUGCUGAGGAACACCGAUGGCGAAGGCAAUCCCCUGGGCCUGUACUGACGCUCAUGCACGAAAGCGUGGGGAGCAAACAGGAUUAGAUACCCCCGUAGUCCCUGUCUCUUAUAC
This 303-nucleotide ribosomal RNA is filed under the name uncultured bacterium. Its description in RNAcentral is "partial 16S ribosomal RNA". It matches the Rfam family "Bacterial small subunit ribosomal RNA", at positions 507 to 807 of the family's 1533-position model. The record is from RNAcentral.